Molecule: long non-coding RNA, 193 nt
Organism: Oncorhynchus gorbuscha (pink salmon)
Lineage: Eukaryota; Metazoa; Chordata; Actinopteri; Salmoniformes; Salmonidae
Exons: 3
Source: RefSeq, a predicted model, not a curated record
GCUAACAGAGUGAUCAUGGUCUCUGCCAUUGGGAAUGCUGGACCACUAUAUGGGUGUGUUCUGACACCGAGAGGAGCACCCUGAACAAUCCAGCAGAUCAGAUGGAUGUGAUUGGGGUCAGUGGGAUAGAUUUUGAGGACAACGUUGCCAGGUUCUCCUCGCGGGGGAUGACUACAUGGCACGGUGUUGAACA